Molecule: long non-coding RNA, 220 nt
Filed under: Elaeis guineensis (African oil palm)
Lineage: Eukaryota; Viridiplantae; Streptophyta; Magnoliopsida; Arecales; Arecaceae
Description: long non-coding RNA (EGUI_LNC006210)
Source: RNAcentral
GCGUCGCAAUAUGUGAUCAUGGACGGCCGACUCUACAAAAGGUCAUUUUCCCUCCCUUUGCUCAGGUGCUUGGGGCCGACCGACGCCGACUAUGCUCUCCGAGAGGUUCACGAGGGAAUCUGCGGGAACCACUUGGGGGGCAAGUCCCUAGCCUUCAAGGUCCUGCGACAAGGCUACUGUUGGCCGACCAUGACGAAGGAUGCGGCAGAGUUGGUCCGGA